RNAcentral lists this long non-coding RNA (1266 nucleotides) under Varanus komodoensis (Komodo dragon). Its description in RNAcentral is "lncRNA (ENSVKKG00000014829.1)". The record is from RNAcentral. Lineage: Eukaryota; Metazoa; Chordata; Lepidosauria; Squamata; Varanidae.
AUCCAGUGAAUACAUAAGAAAGACGAUCUCAGCAGGGGCCUAGUCCAGGAGCGCUACCCUGAGACACAUGCAGCCCCCGAGCGAUCCUCCCUUAUUCAGGUCCGCUCUUGGCCGUGCUGGCUGGGGAUGAUGGGUGUCUUGGCUCUGUUUCUCUCUCUCUCUCUCUCAACGUGGAGCUCCUGCCCGCGCUUGGAGUGCACCACGAAACGCCGAGGUGACGGUGCCACACACGUCCCGCCACCGGCCUGCUUUUGUCGCGGGCGGCCCACGCUGAAUGACUGAUGGAAAUUUCUCCUGGGAAGAAAAGGGUUUCUGGUAAACCGAUCCCUCCCAGGGCCCCGGCGAGGGAUGGGGAGGAGGGGUUUCCAUGCCAAGUCCGGGGCGGGCGGCCGAAUCUGGGAUCGGGUGUCGCGCUUUGCAGGAGGUGUGAGGCCGAGAUUUGCCGGCGGGUUUUCAGAAGAAGGAGCGAGGCGCUUGCUCUACCGGCCGAUUGCAAGCCUUUGUGUUUGCGUGUUCUUGCUGAGAGCGGGAUCAGAACGUGGCACCGCAAAGAGCAAGGCUCAGCCGGCAACGCCACCGGCUCCAAGGGCCAUGGCUGGGUGGCCCCAGAAGGGAACCGAGCGCCCUGGGGCCACCAUACAGCUCGGGCACCUCCGGGGCGGACCUGCCCUCCUCAGGAGGAGCCCUCGCUCCACCCUGGGGUUCUCGGGUGUGUGGAGCAGCACCGCACAGAAGGGGCCUGCGAGCAGAAGCCCUUUCCUGGAGCCCCGGCUUGGGCAUGGUCUCCCCGGAGGACCCUCACUUCCCGGGACGCCUCCAAAUGCACGCAGCCAAGCUGGCACACGGCAAGCACCGCGCCAGCCACUUGUGGAAGCGACCCUCUCGGGCCUCCGCAGCGGCCGCCCUUGCAGGCAGCCGUCCUUCCAUUCCCCGCACCCCUCAAACGCAGGAGAGAAGUGUUGCGUCCGAGAAGUUUUCCCUCCUUGGCGGUGGCGGCGGCUGCUUUCGCCAGCGCCCUCGCCCUCCAUGGCAACUCCAGGAGGCCGCAAAGCUCCUCGCCUGGCAACGGCAGGCCGCGAGGCUUCCAGACGGGAACGCCGUGGAGGCGAGAGAGAAUUGGCCGGGCGCCUGGGCGGGCGCCCUUUGUACACUGCACUUCGGCUUGCAGUGGGGUAGCGAGCGCCUUCGCGGCGGCCGUGGGACUCUAGGUGUGUCCCCACACUGCUCGGAAAUCGCCACACACACGUCUUGUUUACAUUUCUACGU